CACGUAGGAGGCAAGCGUUAUUCGGAUUUACUGGGCGUAAAGCGCGUGCAGGCGGUUUGGUAAGUUGGAUGUGAAAGCUCCUGGCCUAACUGGGAGAGGUCGUUCAAUACUACCAGACUAGAGUAUGGGAGAGGGAGGUGGAAUUCCGGGUGUAGUGGUGAAAUGCGUAGAUAUCCGGAGGAACACCAGUGGCGAAAGCGGCCUCCUGGCCCAUUUCUGACGCUCAGACGCGAAAGCUAGGGUAGCAAACGGG
RNAcentral lists this ribosomal RNA (253 nucleotides) under uncultured bacterium. Its description in RNAcentral is "partial 16S ribosomal RNA". It matches the Rfam family "Bacterial small subunit ribosomal RNA", at positions 524 to 776 of the family's 1533-position model. The record is from RNAcentral.